This 274-nucleotide ribosomal RNA is filed under the name uncultured bacterium. RNAcentral's name for it is "partial 16S ribosomal RNA". It matches the Rfam family "Bacterial small subunit ribosomal RNA", at positions 523 to 796 of the family's 1533-position model. The record is from RNAcentral.
AUACGGAGGGUGCAAGCGUUGUCCGGAUUUAUUGGGUUUAAAGGGUGCGUAGGCGGCGCUAUAAGUCAGAUGUGAAAUCCCACCGCUUAACGGUGGAACUGCAUUUGAUACUGUAGUGCUUGAAUCAGGCUGAGGUCAGCGGAAUGUGUCAUGUAGCGGUGAAAUGCAUAGAUAUGACAUAGAACACCAAUUGCGAAGGCAGCUGACUAGACCUGUAUUGACGCUGAGGCACGAAAGCGUGGGGAGCGAACAGGAUUAGAAACCCUAGUAGUCC